UGACCGCCUUUCCCACCCGAAAGGCCAAGGCUACACGGACGGCCGGGUCAAAUGCCGA
RNAcentral lists this small RNA (58 nucleotides) under pig gut metagenome. RNAcentral's name for it is "Streptococcus sRNA SpF59 (ldcC RNA)". It matches the Rfam family "Streptococcus sRNA SpF59 (ldcC RNA)". The record is from RNAcentral.